GACGAACGCUGGCGGCGCGCCUAACACAUGCAAGUCGAACGAGCGAGAGAGAGCUUGCUUUCUCGAGCGAGUGGCGAACGGGUGAGUAACGCGUGAGGAACCUGCCUCAAAGAGGGGGACAACAGCCGGAAACGGCUGCUAAUACCGCAUAAUGCAUCGGAUUCGCAUGUUCUGAUGCCAAAGAUUUUAUCGCUGAAAGAUGAGCUCGCGUCUGAUUAGCUAGUUGGCGGGUAACGCCACCAAGGCGACGAUCAGUAGCCGGACUGAGAGGUUGAACGGCCACAUUGGGACUGAGACACGGCCCAG
This 306-nucleotide ribosomal RNA is filed under the name uncultured bacterium. RNAcentral's name for it is "bacterial SSU rRNA". It matches the Rfam family "Bacterial small subunit ribosomal RNA", at positions 28 to 334 of the family's 1533-position model. The record is from RNAcentral.